UUACAAUGAAGAGUUUGAUCCUGGCUCAGGAUGAACGCUAGCUACAGGCUUAACACAUGCAAGUCGAGGGGCAUCAGGAAGAAAGCUUGCUUUCUUUGCUGGCGACCGGCGCACGGGUGAGUAACACGUAUCCAACCUGCCCUUUACUCGGGGAUAGCCUUUCGAAAGAAAGAUUAAUACCCGAUAGCAUAAUGAUUCCGCAUGGUUUCAUUAUUAAAGGAUUCCGGUAAAGGAUGGGGAUGCGUUCCAUUAGGUUGUUGGUGAGGUAACGGCUCACCAAGCCUUCGAUGGAUAGGGGUUCUGAGAGGAAGGUCCCCCACAUUGGAACUGAGACACGGUCCAAACUCCUACGGGAGGCAGCAGUGAGGAAUAUUGGUCAAUGGGCGCUAGCCUGAACCAGCCAAGUAGCGUGAAGGAUGAAGGCUCUAUGGGUCGUAAACUUCUUUUAUAUAAGAAUAAAGUGCAGUAUGUAUACUGUUUUGUAUGUAUUAUAUGAAUAAGGAUCGGCUAACUCCGUGCCAGCAGCCGCGGUAAUACGGAGGAUCCGAGCGUUAUCCGGAUUUAUUGGGUUUAAAGGGAGCGUAGGUGGACUGGUAAGUCAGUUGUGAAAGUUUGCGGCUCAACCGUAAAAUUGCAGUUGAUACUGUCAGUCUUGAGUACAGUAGAGGUGGGCGGAAUUCGUGGUGUAGCGGUGAAAUGCUUAGAUAUCACGAAGAACUCCGAUUGCGAAGGCAGCUCACUGGACUGCAACUGACACUGAUGCUCGAAAGUGUGGGUAUCAAACAGGAUUAGAUACCCUGGUAGUCCACACAGUAAACGAUGAAUACUCGCUGUUUGCGAUAUACAGUAAGCGGCCAAGCGAAAGCAUUAAGUAUUCCACCUGGGGAGUACGCCGGCAACGGUGAAACUCAAAGGAAUUGACGGGGGCCCGCACAAGCGGAGGAACAUGUGGUUUAAUUCGAUGAUACGCGAGGAACCUUACCCGGGCUUAAAUUGCAGUGGAAUGAUGUGGAAACAUGUCAGUGAGCAAUCACCGCUGUGAAGGUGCUGCAUGGUUGUCGUCAGCUCGUGCCGUGAGGUGUCGGCUUAAGUGCCAUAACGAGCGCAACCCUUAUCUUCAGUUACUAACAGGUCAUGCUGAGGACUCUGGAGAGACUGCCGUCGUAAGAUGUGAGGAAGGUGGGGAUGACGUCAAAUCAGCACGGCCCUUACGUCCGGGGCUACACACGUGUUACAAUGGGGGGUACAGAAGGCAGCUAGCGGGUGACCGUAUGCUAAUCCCAAAAUCCUCUCUCAGUUCGGAUCGAAGUCUGCAACCCGACUUCGUGAAGCUGGAUUCGCUAGUAAUCGCGCAUCAGCCACGGCGCGGUGAAUACGUUCCCGGGCCUUGUACACACCGCCCGUCAAGCCAUGGGAGCCGGGGGUACCUGAAGUACGUAACCGCAAGGAUCGUCCUAGGGUAAAACUGGUGACUGGGGCUAAGUCGUAACAAGGUAGCCGUACCGGAAGGUGCGGCUGGAACACCUCCUUUCU
This 1533-nucleotide ribosomal RNA is filed under the name Bacteroides fragilis. RNAcentral describes it as "bacterial SSU rRNA". It matches the Rfam family "Bacterial small subunit ribosomal RNA". Lineage: Bacteria; Pseudomonadati; Bacteroidota; Bacteroidia; Bacteroidales; Bacteroidaceae. The record is from RNAcentral.